AGAGUUUGAUCCUGGCUCAGGACGAACGCUGGCGGCGUGCUUAACACAUGCAGGUCGAACGGAAAGGCCCUUCGGGGUACUCGAGUGGCGAACGGGUGAGUAACACGUGGGUGAUCUGCCCUGCACUUUGGGAUAAGCCUGGGAAACUGGGUCUAAUACCGAAUAGGACCGCGCGCUUCAUGGUGUGUGGUGGAAAGCUUUUGCGGUGUGGGAUGGGCCCGCGGCCUAUCAGCUUGUUGGUGGGGUAAUGGCCUACCAAGGCGACGACGGGUAGCCGGCCUGAGAGGGUGACCGGCCACACUGGGACUGAGAUACGGCCCAGACUCCUACGGGAGGCAGCAGUGGGGAAUAUUGCACAAUGGGCGCAAGCCUGAUGCAGCGACGCCGCGUGAGGGAUGACGGCCUUCGGGUUGUAAACCUCUUUCACCAGGGACGAAGCGCAAGUGACGGUACCUGGAGAAGAAGCACCGGCCAACUACGUGCCAGCAGCCGCGGUAAUACGUAGGGUGCGAGCGUUGUCCGGAAUUACUGGGCGUAAAGAGCUCGUAGGUGGUUUGUCGCGUUGUUCGUGAAAACUCACAGCUUAACUGUGGGCGUGCGGGCGAUACGGGCAGACUAGAGUACUGCAGGGGAGACUGGAAUUCCUGGUGUAGCGGUGGAAUGCGCAGAUAUCAGGAGGAACACCGGUGGCGAAGGCGGGUCUCUGGGCAGUAACUGACGCUGAGGAGCGAAAGCGUGGGGAGCGAACAGGAUUAGAUACCCUGGUAGUC
This 770-nucleotide ribosomal RNA is filed under the name uncultured bacterium. RNAcentral's name for it is "bacterial SSU rRNA". It matches the Rfam family "Bacterial small subunit ribosomal RNA", at positions 8 to 795 of the family's 1533-position model. The record is from RNAcentral.